Molecule: ribosomal RNA, 253 nt
Filed under: uncultured bacterium
Lineage: Bacteria
Description: partial 16S ribosomal RNA
Rfam family: Bacterial small subunit ribosomal RNA
Source: RNAcentral
UACGGAGGGCGCAAGCGUUGUUCGGAAUUACUGGGCGUAAAGCGCGUGUAGGCGGCCAGGUAAGUCGGAUGUGAAAGCCCGGGGCCCAACCCCGGAACUGCACCCGAUACUGCCCGGCUGGAGUCCCGGAGAGGAUGGCGGAAUUUCCGGUGUAGAGGUGAAAUUCGUAGAUAUCGGAAGGAACACCAGUGGCGAAGGCGGCCAUCUGGACGGUGACUGACGCUGAGACGCGAAAGCGUGGGGAGCAAACAGG